Molecule: small nucleolar RNA, 90 nt
Filed under: Pogona vitticeps (central bearded dragon)
Lineage: Eukaryota; Metazoa; Chordata; Lepidosauria; Squamata; Agamidae
Description: Small nucleolar RNA SNORD103/SNORD85 (ENSPVIG00000012366.1)
Rfam family: Small nucleolar RNA SNORD103/SNORD85
About the family: This family includes the snoRNAs SNORD103 (U103) and SNORD85 (HBII-251) . The members of this family belong to the C/D class of snoRNAs which contain the C (UGAUGA) and D (CUGA) box motifs.
Source: Rfam by way of RNAcentral
UCUAGCAGUGAUGAUGCUCUUGCCCUCACUGAGAACUGUAAUGAGUUCUGUAAUGAGAGCUUUUAAAGUACUCAUUUGCUCUGAGCCAGA